RNA transcript from Quercus lobata, 1253 nucleotides. RefSeq lists it as uncharacterized. The record is from RefSeq and is a predicted model, not a curated record. The transcript is spliced from 5 exons. NCBI's taxonomy places the organism in Eukaryota, Viridiplantae, Streptophyta, Magnoliopsida, Fagales, Fagaceae.
CCACCACUGACACUACCCAAUGUUGCGUUUGUUGCUACCCGUGUCUCGUUAUUAAUGAAAACCCCACUUCUUCUACUUUUUCUCAAUUCUACUUUACUUUCUCCCACUUCUUCUUCUUUACUUCUCCAGACUGAAAGAGUCAUCGUGUUCUGCCUCUUGCCUCUCGCCUCCCACAUCGAUGCAUGCCAACAUCAAAGCAGGAGCAGUGAUUUCAAUGCCAAAGUUUCAUCUUCCAAAUUAGUCGUGAGGAGCAACCUAGCUUUGAGGGGCCCUUUGGUUGUCAAGUGUUCCAAUGCUGAUGGAAAUGGAACUUCAGUGAAGAGAACAGUUCUUCAUGAUCUCUAUGAGAAGGAAGGGCAGAGUCCAUGGUAUGAUAACCUCUGUUGGCCUGUUACAGAUCUACUUCCUCUAAUUGCAAGUGGUGUUAGAGGUGUUACUAGCAACCCAGCGGUAAUUAUGCACAUAUUAUUAAUAUUAAAACUUUUCCAUGAUUUGGAACCAAUCUGAUACGCAAACUCGUCCACAGAUUCACCCUCAGUUCUUCCCCCUAAAUCAAACCCUAAAUCCACACACUCACCCAAACACUCCGGCCACUCUGCCUCACUAAAUCCCGCUACCCAUACUGAAACCCACAAUUUUUAGAAGCUUGUAAAACACCAGUGGCAGGUUCUUACCAAUGUCGGAAACAAGUAAUUAUUACUCCAGUACUAGUGGGCAUCUGUGUGACCUAGACCAUUGCACCCUUAGGACAUCCCUGAAACUUCAUACUUUUGGUAGGAGGUUUUAUGGCUGUCACUACUGGUCACCAGGUGAUGACCGUGCAUGUAAGUUCUUCAAAUGGUUGGACACCAAAACUUGCAUGUGUGGCGCAGUAACAACACCUAUUGUGUUAGCAAAAUUCCGAAGAUUGGAGAACGAGGUGGAACUUGCUAAUGAAGAGUUGAAGCAAGCACGUGCAAUGGGAGAAGCUGCAAAACGAAAGGCUAAAAGAGCCAAGGUUACGUGCAGGAUUUUCGAAGAGAAAGUGGAGAAGUUCAAGAUAGCUCUAGUAAUAUCAUGGGUGAUGUUUGGAGUACUACUUAUUUUGUCUACUAGGUUUAAGGAUGUUAGAAGCAGGCAAAUGUAUUUGCCUGGAUGAGUUGGUUAUGUGCGUAAUAAGCUAGAAUUGUAUUGUGAAAAUUGGAGAUCAUUUGUAUUGUAAUGGUACAACUUCAUGUACCAGUUUUUGUAUUGUAAGUAUAAACAUUUAUGGU